CAAUGAGUCAAAUUUAAGAAACAACCCACUGUUAGAAAGCUGAUUGGCUACGCUUUAAAAUGAAUGUAAACUUUAACGUUUUCGUCUAUUAUUUGUUUAGCAAUUUACAUUUCAGUCGAGGAUUGCGCUUUUUUUGAUACACCCUGUAUAUGGUCAAUAUAUGGGAAUUAAAUGGGGACAAAAACUGAUCAUGAUCAUGACUCUUCUACGUGUCGAACCUCAUUUCCAAUUACAAC
This is a non-coding RNA of Paramuricea clavata, 236 nucleotides long. Lineage: Eukaryota; Metazoa; Cnidaria; Anthozoa; Malacalcyonacea; Plexauridae. The record is from the annotation of a GenBank genome assembly.